Molecule: ribosomal RNA, 373 nt
Filed under: uncultured bacterium
Lineage: Bacteria
Description: bacterial SSU rRNA
Rfam family: Bacterial small subunit ribosomal RNA
Source: RNAcentral
ACACGUAGGGGGCGAGCGUUGUUCGGAAUUACUGGGCGUAAAGGGCAUGUAGGCGGUUUUGUAAGACUGGCGUGAAAGGCUGCAGCUUAACUGUAGCACUGCGCUGGUAACUACAAGACUUGAGUCACGGAGAGGGAGCUAGAAUUCCAGGUGUAGGGGUGAAAUCUGUAGAUAUCUGGAAGAAUACCAGUGGCGAAGGCGAGCUUCUGGCCGAUGACUGACGCUGAGGUGCGAAAGCGUGGGUAGCAAACAGGAUUAGAUACCCUGGUAGUCCACGCGGUAAACGAUGCACACUAGGUGCUGGGGCGGACGCUUCAGUGCCGGAGUUAACGUGGUAAGUGUGCCGCCUGGGGAGUAUGCUCGCAAGGGUGAA